GCGGAUAUAGCGGAUAUAGUUGAAUGGUAAAAUUUCUCCUUGCCAAGGAGAAGAUGCGGGUUCGAUUCCCGCUAUCCGCC
Molecule: transfer RNA, 80 nt
Filed under: Elaeagnus triflora
Lineage: Eukaryota; Viridiplantae; Streptophyta; Magnoliopsida; Rosales; Elaeagnaceae
Description: tRNA-Gly
Rfam family: tRNA (bases 10-80)
About the family: Transfer RNA (tRNA) molecules are approximately 80 nucleotides in length.
Source: RNAcentral